RNAcentral lists this signal recognition particle RNA (99 nucleotides) under Acidimicrobiales bacterium. Its description in RNAcentral is "signal recognition particle sRNA small type". It matches the Rfam family "Bacterial small signal recognition particle RNA". From Rfam's summary of the family: The signal recognition particle (SRP) is a universally conserved ribonucleoprotein involved in the co-translational targeting of proteins to membranes. Archaeal SRP consists of a 7S RNA and homologues of the eukaryotic SRP19 and SRP54 proteins. The record is from RNAcentral. Lineage: Bacteria; Bacillati; Actinomycetota; Acidimicrobiia; Acidimicrobiales.
GAUUGGGUCCUGUGCAAAUAGUACCCGUGAACCGAGUCAGGGCCGGAAGGCAGCAGCUCUCAGCGGAACUACUGUUGUGCCGCAGAUAGCCUAAUCGUC